AUUUUUCCUUUUUAGGGCCUCACCCACGGCAUAUGAAUGUUCCUAGCCACAGCAACACCAGAUCCGAGCCGCAUCUGCGACCUAUACCACAGGUCACAGCAACACCAGAUCCUUAACCCACUGAGCGAGGCCAGGGAUCGAACCCACAACCUCAUGAUUCCUAGUCAGAUUCGUUUCUGCUGCACCACAACGGGAACUCCGAUUUCUGUUUAUUUUCGGUUAUACCCCUGUCCUUCCAAUAAACUAGAGGAUGUCCUCCAAGAAAAGCCUACUAAAGUAAGACCUCACCUAGUGGUCAUCCCUCCUUUCAAGAGUUGAAUCUGCUCCAAUAUCUGUCUGCUUUUGUUUACUCAUCAGUCCCUUCUUGGUCCUUUCUCUAGUGUUGUCUGCAGUGUGAUUUGUCAACACAAGUAUUUCUGACAUUGCUAUAGCUAGAAGCUUUAUCUAUUUAUUUUCAUUUGACUUUUCUAUUUAGUUUUUUGCUUUUUAGGGCCACACCCGUGGCAUAUGGAAGUUCCCAGGCUAGCUAUCAGAGCUACAGCUGCUAGCCUACACCACAGCAACACAGGAUCCAAGUCAUGUUUGUGAUCUACACCACAGCUCACAGCAACACCAGAUCCCUGACACACUGAGCGAGACCAAGGAUUGGACCCACAUCUUCAUGGAUACUAGUCAUAUUUGUUUCUGCUGCGUCACAAUGGGAACUCCCUGGUUCAUUUUGCUUUAUUUUUUAAUUGACUAUUUUUAGAGCAGUUUUAGUGGUUCAGAGGAAACAAAUCUGACUAGUAUCCAUGAGAAUGCAGGUUUGACCCCUGGCUUUGCUCAGUAUGUUAAGGAUCCAGCAUUGCUGUGAGCUGCAGUGUAGCUCACAGAUGUGGCUCAGAUCUGGUGUGGCUGUAGCUGUGGUGUAAGCCAGCUGCAAUUCAACCCCUUUCCUGGGAACCUCCAUAUUAUGUGGGUGCAGUAUGACAUUCUUAUUAUGUGUAUUGCAUGAUACCUAGAGAGACAGGAGACUUAGCCAUCCAAGGUAAAAAUUUUUGGCUACGGUCAUGACAUCAGUAUAGGUAUAGAACUUUAAUCUCAAACAAAAGCAAGACAAGCCUUCAGUGUUAUAGGGAGUGACAAACUACAACUUGUAUAAUUGGGAGGUAUGUGCUGUUAUUUGAAGAUCACAAACCACCAUCAAAAUAUUAAUUUAUUAGAUGAUUUUCAGUAUUCUUUACUGCUAAAUUAUCCUAAAGAAGACAUGUGGAUGUAACUAAAGUCUUCAUAAAUAAGACAAUCCAAGCAAUUGUCUAAUUAUAUUGUGACCAAAAUAAUAAAAUAACAAUUGUCCUAAAAAUUAGAGAAUCAUAGCAUACUAGUAACGCUGUUUUCUAAAGAAUUAUAGAACAUUACUCAAGUACUUCUGAAUUGCUCAAUAAGAGUCAAAGCUUCUAUGUAAUGGAGAAUGUUAGCCCCAUUUAUAGGUAUUUCUAAUAAAGUGUAUUGAUCUUCCUGGGUAAUAAAAUAUGUUUCUAAAAACUGAAAAUGAAAAUUUUCCUUCAUGUCCAGGAGUAUAGACCUCUGACUUUCUCUUAAAGCAAUGCAAAAUGGAGCAAAGGGCAGUGAUUAAGAGUAUGGAUUCUGGAGCCAGACUCCAGGGGCUUUAAUACUGGCUCAACCACUUCCUAGUAAUACGAAAUCUGUCAAAUAAAUUACUCCCCCUAUGCUUCUGUUCUCCAUCUAUAAAAUGUUGAAUAUAAUAGUAUCUACAUCAUAAGGUUGAUGUGAGGAGUUAAUGAGUUAGCAUUUAGAAUGAUUAUGGACACAUAAAAAGCACUAUACAAGUAUUACAACCACUAUAAUUUUGUGAAAUAUUUCAAAUAAGUGGAUUUAAUGUCACCAUCUUCUAAAGAUUUAGAAGGUUUUGAGACAACUGAAAAUGUCAUGUCAUGGUUGGCUUUAGCACUCAUCUAUCUAGAGCCUGCAAGCCCUAUUUAAUAGUAAAUUAAUAGUAAAUAUUUUCAUAGCUUCUCAAAAAAUUCAACUUUGCUGAAGAAAAGAUUUUAUACAUUAUUCUUUCAUUCAAUAUUUGUUGGUGGCCUAUUCUUGGAGCAUGAGAAAAUGGAGUCCAAAUAUAUAAUUCAAAAAAUAAAUUAUACAAUAUUUUGUGCUAAGAAGAUAAAAGGAUAGAAUGUAGAAUGUGAUAGGAGUGAAAAUAAUCACAAUUAUAAAUAGCCAUGUUUAUGAAGGAAUGUCAGUCUUACUAGUGAUUUUAUGUCAUUUGUCAUUAAUUCUAAUUUGUUAUAUAUGAUUUAUAAAGUAAGUAAUUUUGGGGGUAACAACAUACCCCUUAAAACGAAUCUGGGUAUGAUUGCUAGGUCUGAAAAUUAUUAAAUAUGUGAUUUGUAUGAUUACUUAAUUUCUGUAGGUUCAAUUUCACCAUUCUCCAAAGUAGGAAGAACCUAUCACAUACAGGUUUUUGUGGCAGUCAAAUAAGUAGAGAUGAAAAACUUAUUGUGGGACCUCUAACUGCAAAUAUGCCACUGUCUUUUGGAGAACCCUAAUGGUUUCCUCUUGAGAAGGCUAUAGUUACUCAUUAAAAAAAAAAAAAAAAAGUUAUUUAACCCUUUAAUUCUUUGGAGACUAUUUAAGCACUUUCAUUUUAUUUAUUUAUUUUUUGUCUUUUUGUCUUUUCUAGGGCCACACCCAUGGCAUAUGGAGGUUCCCAGGCUAGGGGUUGAAUUAGAGCUACAGCUGUCGACCUACGCCAGAACUACAACAACACAGGAUCUGAGCCGAGUCUGCGACCUACACCACAGCUCAUAGCAACACCAGAUCCUUAACCCACUGAGCAAGGCCAGGGAUCAAACCUGCAACCUCACGGCUCCUAGUUGGAUUUGUUAACCACUAAGCCACAACAGGAACUCCUAUUUAAGCACUUUUAAAAUGACUCGUUCAAUUCUCAUAAUCACCCAAUUAGUAUGUAUUGUUCUUCCCAUUUUAGAGAUGAGAAACUGAAGCACAGAAAGGUUAACUAUUUUGUCCAAAGUGACAAGACCAGUAAGUGGCAGGGAAGCUAUUCCCUGGUAAGUGUUCUUAAACUUUAUCUUGUUCAGAACUGCCCCCUGGUCUUGGGAGACUAAUCAGGAAAAGGCACCAUAUCUUUCCUGCUGAUAUAGUCCUUUGCUAGACCACAGGAUCUGCUGAUUUCAGUGCCCUAUAAAUUUGCUCCUGCUUUAGGUAUUCUCUUGAUCCCUGGGAAUAUAUUACAUAGUUCUAAGCCACCCUCCCUUUUCACCUGCCAUGUAAUGAUCUUUUCUUCUUGUGAGAGACAUGAAUAGUAUUAUACUUGAUCCUAAACAAAGCAUGUCAAAUGCUAAUGCAUCCUCUAGUUUUUGUCAUUCCUUAUUUGGAAUAAGGGCUAUAUAUACACUUGAGGGAGAAUGAAUAACAGAUGUAAAUUCGACGCUUAAAGUUCCUUGUGUUUAAGCAUUUUGCUGUUUCAUUCUUUUGACUUAUGUCUCCUCUAUUUAGAAGAGUCAUCUCUUGGAUUUAAGGUUAAUUAACAUCAACAGCAUGAGAAUAAUAUGUCUUUGCUUAAACAACAUCUACUAGAUAUGAGCCCUGGGGAGCCUGAGGCAAGAGUUGAACACCAGUUACUAUCUCGGCCUUUUCUGCUACAGAGAAAGUUAAAAAGAAGGUCGUCUUCCUCUUUCUUCUAUGCCAGUAGCUCUGAACUCUGCCUCUAAAUUAUAAUAUUAUGGAAUAUGUUUUUGUUUGUUUGUUUUUGCCAUGGCAAACACCAAUCUAUUUAAAUAGGAAUUUCAGAAAUGGGGCCUGAGCAUAAAUUUCUUUAAAAAGUUGUCCAGGUGAUUUUAUAGUUCAAUCAGAGCUGAGAAUCACUGAUCCAGAAAGUAAAGGCUGGAAACUUUGUCAGCAAUCCUGAACUGUGGCCCUCUUCAGUUGAAGCCUCUCAUAUUCAGCCACAGGAUCAUCCUAAGUCCAUAUUAGUUAAGAAUUGCUUAUAAGAGGGUGAAAUAUUUGGUGUAAUCCUUUGAACAGUCUCUCUGCCGGUGUCCCCAAAUUCAUUUAAUCAUCAUUAAAAGGAUGAACGUGCCAUCUAGUCCAGGUAGGUGUGCCACCUCUAAUUUCCUACAACAAAGUUCUUAGUGUAAUGCUUAGCCCACAGUGUGUCUGUAAUAAACAAUGGUAGUAUGGAGUUCCCGUGGUGGCACAGCAGAAAUGAAUCUGACUAGGAACCAUGAGGUUGUGGGUUCAAUCCCUGGCCACUCUCGGUGGGUUAAGGAUCCAGCGUUGCCAGAGUUGUGGUAUAGGUCGCAGAUGUGACUCAGAUCUCACACUGCUGUGACAUAGGCUGGCUGCUACAGCUCUGAUUAGACCCCUAACCUGGGAACCUCCAUAUGUCAUGAGUGCGGCCCUAAGAGGACAAAAAAGAAAAAAAAAAUUGUAGUUAUAAGCAGUGCCCAAGAAAAUUUCUCUUAAAUGUGUGUAUUUUCUAUUAUUAAAUAAUGAUGGUUACAUAAGAAUUUAUAAUUCCUUUCUGUUUUAUGUGCCAAAUAAGUGAAAGGGAAAUUUCAGGGAGCCAGUUACAUCUAUGCUCUUUGUUCAUUGUUGGAUGUUCUGGUUUUGUACAUACUUUGUUUGCUCAUUUACAACAUGGUUGACUUUGAAAUCAGAUUAUAUACCAUGGAAUAUGGAUAUAUAAAUUAUACACUGAGCUCAUGCCAUCAAAUAUUUUUGUCUCAUUAAUUUUAAUUUUGUGGUCAUUUUACAUGCAAGUCUGAUAUUACAAAGAAGAGAGAUCAGGGAUGUUGGCACAAGGCAGAUGAGACUUAAAGCUGGACCAUUAUGAUUGAAGAAAUGUCCAAGCUGUACACAAGUUCAAAUAAGGGAGAAGAGUUAGUUGCAUAUUUUAAAAAAUAACAAUUGAGAUGAGCCUUAAAGAAUGCAAUAUUGGGACACAUAGCCAGUUUGGGGGCUGUAUUUUAUCUUAUUUUUCUUUUAAAGCUGUUGAGCUUAUUGUUUAAAUUUUUAUUAGAGUAUGGUUGACUUAUAGUGUUGUAUUAGUUUCAGUUGUACAGAAAAAUGAUUCCGUUAUACACAUAGCCAUCCUUUUUUACCAUAUAGGUUAUUACAAAAUAUUGAGUUGAUAUCCUUAUUAUAUACAAUAGAUCCUUGUUCACCAUCUAUUUUAUGUAUAGAAGUGUGUAUUUAUUAAUCACACUCUUAAUUUAAUCCUCCCCUCCAUUUU
This 5257-nucleotide long non-coding RNA is filed under the name Sus scrofa (pig). Its description in RNAcentral is "lncRNA (ENSSSCG00000060802.1, ENSSSCG00090034262.1)". The record is from RNAcentral. Lineage: Eukaryota; Metazoa; Chordata; Mammalia; Artiodactyla; Suidae.